This 630-nucleotide ribosomal RNA is filed under the name Ustilago avenae. RNAcentral's name for it is "LSU rRNA". It matches the Rfam family "Eukaryotic large subunit ribosomal RNA", at positions 46 to 657 of the family's 3401-position model. The record is from RNAcentral. Lineage: Eukaryota; Fungi; Basidiomycota; Ustilaginomycetes; Ustilaginales; Ustilaginaceae.
AUAAGCGGAGGAAAAGAAACUAACAAGGAUUCCCCUAGUAACGGCGAGUGAAGAGGGAAGAGCCCAAGAUUGAAAGCUGGCGUCUUUGGCGUCCGCAUUGUAAUCUCAAGAAGUGUUUUCCGCUUCGGACCAUGCCUAAGUCCCUUGGAAAAGGGCAUCAUAGAGGGUGAUAAUCCCGUACAUGGCAUGGAGCGCCCGAAGCUUUGUGAUACACUUUCUAAGAGUCGAGUUGUUUGGGAAUGCAGCUCAAAAUGGGUGGUAAAUGCCAUCUAAGGCUAAAUAUUGGGGAGAGACCGAUAGCGAACAAGUACAGUGAUGGAAAGAUGAAAAGAACUUUGAAAAGAGAGUUAAACAGUACGUGAAAUUGCCAAAAGGGAAGGGUAGGAGGUCAGAGAUGCGGUCUGGGAUUCAGCCUUGCUUUUGCUGGGUGUUUUUCUCAGAUUGCAGGCCAACGUCGGUUUUGGGCGCUGGAGAAGGGUGGAAGGAAUGUGGCACCUCUCGGGGUGUGUUAUAGCCUUCUACUGGAUACAGUGACCGAGACCGAGGACAGCAGCGUACUCGCAAGAGCGGGCCUUCGGGCACCUUUACGCUUAGGGCGUUGGCAUAAUGGCCCUCUACCACCCGUCUUGA